GUGGUUCAUUUCAGGGGCUGGGGUGGGCUUGGUGUCGGGAUGCAGAUCCUGGGGGGGGGAGCCACAUGUGGCUGUUUGUUUAAACAAGAACCAAUUUGAAUGAAAAGACAUGAAAAGCUUCUUGGCUGCACUGACGCUGUCUUUGGUGGUCAACAGUCAGACAAGGUCAGUGGGCUGCUGUAUUCGGCUGGCCCGCAUCCGUCAGUGCGGAAAGUUCUCUCGGCCAGACUGGAGCUGGAGAUCACCCAAGGUGGCAGAGUAGAGAGCCCCUGAGCUCACCUCCUCUCACGAGCCCACCAGUAGCACAGUGAAAGAGACCGAACCUACCAAGAAGAUCUACAACCAAAGACAUGCAGAAGGAACCACAGUGAGACAGUUAAGAGGGGUGGACUUGCUGUAUAGUCGGGCCCACAUCCCCAGGUGGGUGACCCACAAACAAGAAAAACUAACGUGGUAGAGGUUCUCCCACAGGAGGGAGAGUUCUGAGCCCCACAUCAGGCCCCCCACUCCCCCCCGCUCAGGGGUCCUACCCUGGGAAAAUGCACCCCCAGAGCAUUUGGCUUUGAAGGCCAGUGGGGCUUAAUUUCAGGAGUUCCACAGGACUGGGGGGAAGAAAGACUUCCCUCUUAAAGGGCACACACAAAGUCUCCCACGCUCCGGGACCCGGGGCCAAAGCUGUAGUUUCCUGGGAUCUUGGGCCAGACCUACCUGCUGGUCUUCCAAAGUCUCCUGGAGAGGUGGGAAGCAGCUACGGCUCGCCCUGGGGACACAGACACUGGCGGCGGCCGUUCCUGGGCCUCCUGCGUGUGUAUGCUGGGGCUGGCAGGUACCGCUGUGGGAUCCUCCCUCUAGCUCCUCCGGCGCCAAGACCGGGCCCACCCAGCAGCCUGUAGGCACCGGUGCUGGGACCCCUUGGCCGAACAGGGCUUGAGACACAGCCCCACCCAGCAGCAGACAGGCUGCCUGGAGACUGCCUGAGGACACAACCCUGCCCACCAGACGGCCCAGGACUCAGCUCCAGCCCCCAGUGAGUGGGCACCAGCCCCAGGCCCUGCCACCCCCACCAGGGGGCACACGCCAGAUGCAAGAGAACUCCAAUUCCUCAUCCUGCCCAUGGCACGCCAGACCUUCUCGCCCUGGGACGAGCUGGCCCCUGGCCACUAGCAGGCCAGCACACGCUUCAGGACACCCCGCACCCAACUGCAUUAGGAACAACCUGACCGCCCCCAGCCCAGUGAUCUUACACCAGCUCUGGGACCUCUGGGUCCUGCAACCAGGCUUAGGACCCAGCUCUGCCUGCCAGCAGUCUGGCACUAACCCCAGGACCCCCCAGUGGGCAAGCAACUGCCCCGGAGUCUCCUGGACCCUGACUUCACCCACCAGUGAGCCAGCACUAGCCCCGGGGCCCCCUGGAGCUCUGCACUCGGCCACCCUGUGACCGGGCCCUGCCAAGCGGCAGCCAGCAGCCUCCACGUGAGACAGAGCCUGGCAACCAACUGGGCGAGGGCCCCGCGAGCCUGCCCACAGCCCGCCGCCACAGCAAGACCCACACAGCCUUCACGGGGGAAACCCUAGAGCAUACAGCUUGGGUGACGAGGGGAGUGCACCGCUGGGAUGCAUGGGACAUCUACGAAAGGCCACUUCCCCAAGGUCGGGAAACAUAAGCAACCUACCAGAUACAUAAAAAUACAAACAGCAGCUUAGGCAAGAUGAGGCCACAGAGGCACGUGUUCCAGAUGAAGGAACAAGAUAAAAGCCCAGAAGAAGAGCUAAGUGAAGUGGAGAUCGGCAAUCUACCCGAGAAGGAGUUCCGGGUAGUGACUAACGAGGAUCAAAAAACUCAGGAGAAGAACGGACGCGCAGUGCAAGAAAUGAGAAGCUUUUAACAGAAAAUAUAAAGCACGACCAGAGGUGAAGAGUAACAUGAAAAAUAUACCAGAAGGAAUCAACAGGAGACUAAAUGAUACAGAGAAACAGGUCAAUGAGCUGGAAGACAAGAGUAGUGGAAACCACUGAUGGUGAGAGAAAAAACAAUGAAAAGAAAUGAGGACAGUUUAAGAGGCCUCUGGGACAACAUCAAGCAUGUUAAUAUUCACAUUGCAGGGGUCCCAGAAGGAGAAGAGACAGAAAGGGGUUGAGAACAUAUCUGAAAACUUCCCUAACCUGGAAAAGGAAACAGUCAUACAAGUCCAGAAAGCACAGAGUCCAACACAGGAUUAACCCAAAGAGGAACACACCAAGACACGUUGUAAUUAAAACAGCAAAAAUUAGAGAUUAUUAAAAGCAGCAAGGGAAAAACAACAACAUACAAGGGAACCCCGGAACUCCCAUAAGGCUAUCAGCUGGCUUUUCAGCCGAACGCCUACAGGCCAGAAGGGAGUGGCACAACAUAUCUACAGUGAACAAGAAAAACCUACAGCCAAGAAGACUCUACCUAGCAAGGCUCUCGUUCAGACUGGAUGCAGAAACAAAGCUUUACAGACAAGCAAAGCUAAAGAGUUCACCACCAAACAAGCUUUAUAACAAAUGUUAAAGAAACCUCUAAGUGAACAAGAAAAGGCCACAACU
RNAcentral lists this long non-coding RNA (2568 nucleotides) under Phocoena sinus (vaquita). RNAcentral describes it as "lncRNA (ENSPSNG00000017104.1)". The record is from RNAcentral. Lineage: Eukaryota; Metazoa; Chordata; Mammalia; Artiodactyla; Phocoenidae.